ACACGUGGUGGUGGUGGUGGAAACCACCAUCUUCUCCGGCGAAGCAACCAAUUCUGGCCACCAGUUGCAGAAAAAUAAAACUUAAUGAAAAUUAAAAACAAGGCCAUGGAAAUGAAGCUCGUGUGAUGGAGAUCGUCAUUGUACCAAUGGAUCUCCCUCACUAUUCCUAUAUUGAGAGAAAUGUGAAGGAGAAAAUCAUGGUGUU
Molecule: long non-coding RNA, 205 nt
Filed under: Lathyrus oleraceus (garden pea)
Lineage: Eukaryota; Viridiplantae; Streptophyta; Magnoliopsida; Fabales; Fabaceae
Description: Pisum sativum (pea) long non-coding RNA (PSAT_LNC017303)
Source: RNAcentral